UAGUAGCUUAGUAACAUACAACUAUUAACAUACAAUAAAUUUCCGACGAAACUUAUGCUGGAUCCCUGAGUUUUUUUCUCGGUUUUUCACAUAAAAAAUAUGAGAACCAACCAUACAUUUCAUAGAAAUGAUGAAAUGAGAGCACGCAUGCAAAACCGGCCGACGAGCUAGGAGGAGCCCUGCAACACAAGGGGAACAGAAGAAUUAGAGCGCCCACCAGAGCAACUAUAUAUAUAUAU
This 239-nucleotide long non-coding RNA is filed under the name Elaeis guineensis (African oil palm). Its description in RNAcentral is "long non-coding RNA (EGUI_LNC019842)". Lineage: Eukaryota; Viridiplantae; Streptophyta; Magnoliopsida; Arecales; Arecaceae. The record is from RNAcentral.